GUCCUUGCCCUAAACAAUGUAUACUUGGUGUAGUAAGGCUCAACCCUGACUGUACCGUAGCCAACGCGAUAAGUAUACCGCCUGGGGAGUACGCUCGCAAGUGUAAAACUCAAAAGAAUUGACGGGGACCCCGCACAAGCAGUUGAGUAUGUGGUUUAAUUCGAUGCAACGCGAAGAACCUUACCUGGGUUUGAAAUGCAACUGACCGCUUCAGAAAUGAAGUUUUCUCGCAAGAGACAGUUGCACAGGUGCUGCAUUGCUGUCGU
RNAcentral lists this ribosomal RNA (266 nucleotides) under uncultured bacterium. Its description in RNAcentral is "partial 16S ribosomal RNA". It matches the Rfam family "Bacterial small subunit ribosomal RNA", at positions 793 to 1055 of the family's 1533-position model. The record is from RNAcentral.